RNAcentral lists this ribosomal RNA (463 nucleotides) under uncultured Pseudomonas sp. RNAcentral describes it as "bacterial SSU rRNA". It matches the Rfam family "Bacterial small subunit ribosomal RNA", at positions 913 to 1382 of the family's 1533-position model. Lineage: Bacteria; Pseudomonadati; Pseudomonadota; Gammaproteobacteria; Pseudomonadales; Pseudomonadaceae. The record is from RNAcentral.
ACGGGGCCGCGACAAGCGUGGAGCAUGUGGUUAAUUCGAAGCAACGCGAAGAACCUUACCAGGCCUUGACAUGCAGAGAACUUCCAGACGAUGGAUUGGUGCCUUCGGGAACUCUGACACAGGUGCUGCAUGGCUGCCGUCAGCUCGUGUCGUGAGAUGUUGGUUAAGUCCGUAACGAGCGCAACCUGUCCUUAGUUACCAGCACGUUAUGGUGGGCACUCUAAGGAGACUGCCGGUGACAAACCGGAGGAAGGUGGGGAUGACGUCAAGUCAUCAUGGCCCUUACGGCCUGGGCUACACACGUGCUACAAUGGUCGGUACAAAGGGUUGCCAAGCCGCGAGGUGGAGCUAAUCCCAUAAAACCGAUCGUAGUCCGGAUCGCAGUCUGCAACUCGACUGCGUGAAGUCGGAAUCGCUAGUAAUCGUGAAUCAGAAUGUCACGGUGAAUACGUUCCCGGGCCUU